This 709-nucleotide long non-coding RNA is filed under the name Apteryx rowi (Okarito brown kiwi). RNAcentral's name for it is "lncRNA (ENSARWG00000013873.1)". The record is from RNAcentral. Lineage: Eukaryota; Metazoa; Chordata; Aves; Apterygiformes; Apterygidae.
GUCCUCUCUGGCCUGCAGUGCCAAGACCGGGCUGAACAGAAGCAGUUGCUUCUCCUCUCCUCCUGCAGCCUGUUUCAAUCCACAAUCCCACCAGCAACCACCAGAAAAGCUCCUGCUGCCUCUCCUUGGGAAAGCACAGCCUUCCCAAGGCCCAGCUGACAGGAAAAGGAUCCCAGUAGCCUGAAACUACGGCUUUCUGACCUUAACUCCUCAGUAUCAUCUUCCGUCCCUCCUGGAGUCUAGCUGGAUUGCAGGGCAGGUUGGACCUGUACUACGGAGAGUGGUUUGGAAGAAAUUCCCUUGGGAUAAGGAGCCUGGCGUUUCCAUCUUCCCAUGAGCAGGGUGACUUGGCAGAGGCCGAAGGGCGUGAGGUAUACAGCCCUGAAGAGGGUGUAGCAAAGAAAAAGUACCAACACUGCUGCAUAUCCACAGUUUCCUGACUGACAACAAAAUUCUCCUGAGUUUGAAGGCAAGACUGCAUUGAUGCGCUUGAAAAAGAAGAGUAAAACACUUGUAAGAGAGAUUGUCAUCAGUAUUUUAUGUGUAAGACUUCAUCUUUAAAGUAAUUAUUGUAAGUAUGAAAGCUCGUGAGUUCUUUGUCCUUUAAAUUUUAAACUGGGAAUGAGAGCUGAACUCUGAUUUUCACCUUUGAAAAUCUGACUUAAAUACCUUAACUAGGUAAUCAAGAAGAGUCAAAGAUGAACUAAGC